CUCCCACCUGCCUCAGGAUCGAGGACAGCCUUCAGUGGCCCCAAAUCACACAGGCCAAACCAGACUGGAAGGAGAUGAGACCUGCCAGUGUGGACUGUGCCCAUGUUAACCCAGUGUUUGACAAUGUUAGUGGAACGUUGGAUGAGUAUCCUGCAAGUGUCCAUAGUCUUCGGGGACCUGGCUACGUUCACCUAUGCUCACCCCCAGUCUUUCUUCCUUUGUCCCUUCUGUCCUCUGCUUCACGUCUUUCACAUUUGCCACCCUUUAUGUUCAUACUCCAGUAUCCUAGAGCCCCAGGCCUUGCUUGCCCUGCUGGGACACACAGGUGACUGUGGCCUCCUCUGGACAUUUGAUUCUUCCUGAGCAAAGAUGGAUCCAAGCAUGUGAGUCUAGCUGCAUAGCCAGAGAAUGGCCUGUCCAGUGUACAGGAUGACCACCCAGGUCUACUUUCCAUACCGAGUGAGGUCAUAAAAGGCUGGAGUUCUCCAUGCAGGUCCUCUGAGAAGACACACUUGGAGAAGACUCUAAAUCAAGUACAGGUCAGCUCUGUGGUGUGUUCCACACAGGAACAGGCCAGAUAUAGGAACAACUGUCCAUAUAUAGCAGCCAGAAGGAAAAAUAGAGUGUGGCCAUGCUAGGGAGCAAGAACUACAUAGCUCCCUGGAAGUGACACCCAGGCCCUGCCUCUGCCUUGAAGAGAAGAUAAGAGACAGGGGGCUAGAAAGAUGGGGCUCCACUUGUUUCCCAGGCUGCUUCCUGCACAUCAGAGAAAGCCUGCACAUGGGCUCCCUAAAGGGUGAGCAUUCCCUACUCUGGAGCAAGGUAUGCCAGGAUUUUGCUCUGCUGGAGAAAGCCACAGUGGCACUGUAUGUGAAAGAAGAUCUUGGGGGUUUUCAAUGGUUCUACCUGUCCAGAGAUGUCAGAGCCUCGGCACCCUCUGCUGCUCCAGACCCCAACCCCAAACAGAACCAUGGAGUCCGAGGAGAACCCA
Long non-coding RNA from Mus musculus (house mouse), 991 nucleotides. RefSeq annotates it as predicted gene, 36882. The transcript is spliced from 2 exons. The record is from RefSeq and is a predicted model, not a curated record. NCBI's taxonomy places the organism in Eukaryota, Metazoa, Chordata, Mammalia, Rodentia, Muridae.